ACCAUGCGCAUAACCCAAUGUGCAUGCUGAGGAGGCCUCACGCCAGUUUAGGCUCUCCAGUAUCUCCCACUGAGCUACUCUGUCCCCGACUUAGAGGACCAGGAGAAGGGGGAGCUGGAGGCUGGAGCCUGCCACACCGUGGCUCGUCUCACUCUGGAUGGUGGUGGCAACAGAGAUGGCAGUGUGGCUGGAGUUUUAGGAGGGCGGCCUGAGCCGUAGGAGGGGGCUGGAGCAGUAACAUGGCGGCCUGAGCGGUUUUUCUGGCAUUGUCUGCCCAGCUGCUCCAAGCCAGGCUGAUGAAGGAGGAGUCCCCUGUGGUGAGCUGGAGGUUGUAGCCUGAAGAUGGCACAGCUCUGUGAUUCAUCUCCUGCGGUUGUGGCGGCCACGGUGAUGGAGACUGCAGCUCAACAGGAGUGAGAAAUGGAAUCAUCGUAUCGCUGAUCUAUGUAAACAAACUGAAGAAUUGUCUGAAAGAAAAUAUGACAUGAACUUAUGAAUUCAACAGGUGAAGAUUUACAACUUGAUAAAUCAACUGUCAGCUCGAGCUGUAAAAGCCAAAGGUCCGGUGAUGAUCCCAUACCCUUUUUUCCAGUCUCAUGUUGAAGAUUUUUAUGUAGAAGGCCUUCCCAAAGGAAUUUUUUUUUUUUUUUUUUUUGAGAUGGAGUUUUCACUCUUAUCGCCCAGGCUGGGGUGCAAUGGCGCAACCUUGCUGGUCACUGCAACCUCUGCCUCCUGGGUUCAAGAAAUUCUCCUGCCUUAGCCUCCCAAGUCACUGGGAUUACAGGUGCCCACCACCAUACCAGGCUAAUUUUUGUAUUUUUAGUGGAGAUGCGGUUUCACCAUGUUGGCCGGGCCAGUCUCAAACUCCUGACGUCAAGUGAUCUUCCCGCCUCGACUCCUGAUAUCAAGUGAUCUUCCCGCCUCGGCCUCCCAGAGUGCUGAGAUUACAGACGUGAACCCAUGCCUGGCCAGGAAUUUUGUUUUUUAGGAAGGCUUUCUACUAAUGGAAUUCCUGGCCUUGAGAGGAUGUUACUUUAGAAGGAAAGGAUUUUUUUGUUAUUAAAAGAGCCACCUAAGCUGAAGAUUCCCUUGAGAACAAGUACUGUCCCUGGUUUCCCAGUGCUGGAAUAUAGAAAAUGGAUGGACAAGUAAAUCCCACUCAGCACCCAUAGUCCAGGCGUGGGGACCUCAACACACCUGAGCCCCAGACAUCACCUUUCAUUGCGAGUAGCUCUGAGAUGACACUUCUGCUGUUCCCAAUUCCAGCAUUAAUUGGAUU
RNAcentral lists this long non-coding RNA (1279 nucleotides) under Homo sapiens (human). RNAcentral describes it as "PREDICTED lncRNA (TCONS_00216427)". The record is from RNAcentral. Lineage: Eukaryota; Metazoa; Chordata; Mammalia; Primates; Hominidae.